RNAcentral lists this ribosomal RNA (590 nucleotides) under uncultured Candidatus Planktophila sp. Its description in RNAcentral is "bacterial SSU rRNA". It matches the Rfam family "Bacterial small subunit ribosomal RNA", at positions 299 to 916 of the family's 1533-position model. Lineage: Bacteria; Bacillati; Actinomycetota; Actinomycetes; Candidatus Nanopelagicales; Candidatus Nanopelagicaceae. The record is from RNAcentral.
CACCAAUAGCUGCAGUCGACGAUUCUACGGGAGGCAGCAGUGGGGAAUAUUGGGCAAUGGAGGAAACUCUGACCCAGCGACGCCGCGUGCGGGAUGAAGGCCUUCGGGUUGUAAACCGCUUUCAGUAGGGAAGAAGCGAAAGUGACGGUACCUACAAAAGAAGCACCGGCUAACUAUGUGCCAGCAGCCGCGGUAAUACAUAGGGUGCAAGCGUUGUCCGGAAUUAUUGGGCGUAAAGAGCUCGUAGGUCGUUUGUUACGUCGGAUGUGAAAACCUGAGGCUCAACCUCAGGCCUGCAUUCGAUACGGGCAAACUAGAGUUUGGUAGGGGAGACUGGAAUUCCUGGUGUAGCGGUGGAAUGCGCAGAUAUCAGGAGGAACACCAAUGGCGAAGGCAGGUCUCUGGGCCAAUACUGACACUGAGGAGCGAAAGUCUGGGGAGCGAACAGGAUUAGAUACCCUGGUAGUCCAGACCGUAAACGGUGGGCACUAGUUGUGGGAACCUUCCACGGUUUCUGCGACGCAGCUAACGCAUUAAGUGCCCCGCCUGGGGAGUACGAUCGCAAGAUUAAAACUCAAAUGAAUUGACGG